AAGUCGUAACAAGGUUUCCGUAGGUGAACCUGCGGAAGGAUCAUUACCGAGUCUUGAACGGGUUGUAGCUGGCCUUUCGAGGUAUGUGCACGCCCGGCUCAAUCCACUCUACACCUGUGCACUCACUGUGGGCUUUGGAUCGUGUAAGAAGCGGCCCGAGCCUACGUUUAUUAUAAACUCUUAAAAGUAUUAGAACGCAUAUUUAUGAUGUAACGCAUCUAUAUACAACUUUCAGCAACGGAUCUCUUGGCUCUC
Molecule: unclassified non-coding RNA, 255 nt
Filed under: air metagenome
Description: partial contains small subunit ribosomal RNA, internal transcribed spacer 1, and 5.8S ribosomal RNA
Rfam family: Eukaryotic small subunit ribosomal RNA (bases 1-46)
Source: RNAcentral